RNAcentral lists this ribosomal RNA (253 nucleotides) under uncultured bacterium. RNAcentral describes it as "partial 16S ribosomal RNA". It matches the Rfam family "Bacterial small subunit ribosomal RNA", at positions 524 to 776 of the family's 1533-position model. The record is from RNAcentral.
UACAGAGGUCCCAAGCGUUGUUCGGAUUCAUUGGGCGUAAAGGGUGCGUAGGCGGCGCGGUAAGUCGGGUGUGAAAUCUCGGAGCUUAACUCCGAAACUGCAUUCGAUACUGCCGUGCUUGAGGACUGGAGAGGAGACUGGAAUUUACGGUGUAGCGGUGAAAUGCGUAGAUAUCAGGAAGAACACCCGUGGCGAAGGCGGCUCUCUGGGACGGUACUGACGCUGAGACGCGAAAGCGUGGGGAGCGAACAGG